AUUGAACGCUAGCGGGAGGCUUUACACAUGCAAGUCGAACGAGGGGAGGACGGGUGAAUAAUAUAUCGGAACGUGCCCAGUAGCGGGGGAUAUAUACUCGAAAGAGUGGCUAAUCCCGCCAACUAGUGGAGCGGCAGAUAUCGGAUUAGCUAGUGGGAGGGGUAAGGGCUCACCAAGGACACGAUCCGUAGCGGGUGUGAGAGGAGGACCAGCCAAACUGGGACUGAGAAACGGCCCAGACUCCUACGGGAGGCAGCAGUGGGGAAUUUUGGACAAUGGGGGAAACCCUGAUCCAGCCAUCCCGCGUGUAUGAGAAGGCCUUCGGGUUGUAAAGUACUUUUGGCAGAGAAGCGGUAUCUGCAGAAUAAGCACCGGCUAACUACGUGCCAGCAGCCGCGGUAAUAC
This 405-nucleotide ribosomal RNA is filed under the name uncultured bacterium. Its description in RNAcentral is "partial 16S ribosomal RNA". It matches the Rfam family "Bacterial small subunit ribosomal RNA", at positions 30 to 526 of the family's 1533-position model. The record is from RNAcentral.